Non-coding RNA from Podarcis lilfordi (Lilford's wall lizard), 71 nucleotides. The record is from the annotation of a GenBank genome assembly. NCBI's taxonomy places the organism in Eukaryota, Metazoa, Chordata, Lepidosauria, Squamata, Lacertidae.
UGGGAUAGCUCAUUUGGUAGAGCACGAGACUCUUAAUCUCAAGGUGGUGGGUUCAAGCUCCACGUGGGCAA